Molecule: ribosomal RNA, 155 nt
Filed under: Schistocerca americana (American grasshopper)
Lineage: Eukaryota; Metazoa; Arthropoda; Insecta; Orthoptera; Acrididae
Description: 5.8S ribosomal RNA
Rfam family: 5.8S ribosomal RNA
About the family: 5.8S ribosomal RNA (5.8S rRNA) is a component of the large subunit of the eukaryotic ribosome. It is transcribed by RNA polymerase I as part of the 45S precursor that also contains 18S and 28S rRNA. Functionally, it is thought that 5.8S rRNA may be involved in ribosome translocation.
Source: RNAcentral
CACCCAGGACGGUGGAUCACUCGGCUCGUGGGUCGAUGAAGAACGCAGCAAAUUGCGCGUCGACAUGUGACUGCAGGACACAUGAACAUCGACGUUUCGAACGCACAUUGCGGUCCAUGGGAUUCCGUUCCCGGGCCACGUCUGGCUGAGGGUCG